UGCAAGUCGAGGGGUAGCAUGAUUGUAGCAAUACAGUUGAUGACGACCGGCAAACGGGUGCGGAACACGUACACAACCUUCCUACAAGUGGGGAAUAGCCCAGAGAAAUUUGGAUUAAUACCCCGUAACAUAGCGAUGUGGCAUCACAUUGCUAUUAUAGCUUCGGCGCUUGUUGAUGGGUGUGCGGCUGAUUAGAUAGUUGGCGGGGUAACGGCCCACCAAGUCUACGAUCAGUAGCUGAUGUGAGAGCAUGAUCAGCCACACGGGCACUGAGACACGGGCCCGACUCCUACGGGAGGCAGCAGUAAGGAAUAUUGGACAAUGGACGCAAGUCUGAUCCAGCCAUGCCGCGUGAAGGAUUAAGGUCCUCUGGAUUGUAAACUUCUUUUAUAAGGGACGAAAAAAGGUCUUUCUAGAUCGUCUGACGGUACCUUAUGAAUAAGCACCGGCUAACUCCGUGCCAGCAGCCGCGGUAAUACGGAGGGUGCAAGCGUUAUCCGGAUUCACUGGGUUUAAAGGGUGCGUAGGCGGGCAGGUAAGUCAGUGGUGAAAUCCUAGAGCUCAACUCUAGAACUGCCAUUGAUACUAUCUGUCUUGAAUAUUGUGGAGGUAAGCGGAAUAUGUCAUGUAGCGGUGAAAUGCUUAGAUAUGACAUAGAACACCUAUUGCGAAGGCAGCUUACUACGCAUAUAUUGACGCUGAGGCACGAAAGCAUGGGGAUCAAACAGGAUUAGAUACCCUGNUAGUCCACGCCCUAAACGAUGGAUACUCGACAUACGCGAUACACUGUGUGUGUCUGAGCGAAAGCAUUAAGUAUCCCACCUGGGGAAGUACGACCGCANGGUUGAAACUCAAAGGAAUUGGCGGGGGUCCGCACAAGCGGUGGANCAUGUGGUUUAAUUCGAUGAUACGCGAGGAACCUUACCUGGGCUAGAAUGCAUUUUGACCGCCAGUGAAAGCUGGUUUU
RNAcentral lists this ribosomal RNA (967 nucleotides) under uncultured bacterium. Its description in RNAcentral is "bacterial SSU rRNA". It matches the Rfam family "Bacterial small subunit ribosomal RNA", at positions 56 to 1015 of the family's 1533-position model. The record is from RNAcentral.